GAUGAACGCUGGCGGCGUGCCUAAUACAUGCAAGUCGAGCGAACGGACGAGAAGCUUGCUUUUCUGAUGUUAGCGGCGGACGGGUGAGUAACACGUGGAUAACCUACCUAUAAGACUGGGAUAACUUCGGGAAACCGGAGCUAAUACCGGAUAAUAUUUUGAACCGCAUGGUUCAAAAGUGAAAGACGGUCUUGCUGUCACUUAUAGAUGGAUCCGCGCUGCAUUAGCUAGUUGGUAAGGAACGGCUUACCAGGGCAACGAUGCAUAGCCGACCUGAGAGGGUGAUCGGCCACACUGGAACUGAGACACGGUCCAGACUCCUACGGGAGGCAGCAGUAGGGAAUCUUCCGCAAUGGGCGAAAGCCUGACGGAGCAACGCCGCGUGAGUGAUGAAGGUCUUCGGAUCGUAAAACUCUGUUAUUAGGGAAGAACAUAUGUGUAAGUAACUGUGCACACCUUGACGGUACCUAAUCAGAAAGCCACGGCUAACUACGUG
This 496-nucleotide ribosomal RNA is filed under the name uncultured bacterium. RNAcentral describes it as "partial 16S ribosomal RNA". It matches the Rfam family "Bacterial small subunit ribosomal RNA", at positions 28 to 507 of the family's 1533-position model. The record is from RNAcentral.